AACCCAUGGUCCCAGAGAGGACUUCUAGGGGAAAUAGACAUACCGUAGCCCCUUUGAUGGCCUCGGCCUAGCCGGGCUAGACUGGCUCUCAGGUGGCCUCCAAGGCUGCAUGGCCCACAGCUGAGGCCCUUCAUCUGAGCCUGACUCAGUACACAAAAAUACAGGACAUACAGUUACGUUUAAAUUUCCGGUAAACGAGUACGUCCUUGGCUACAAGUAUGUCCCAAUUUUCUUUGGCUGCACUAUCGGGCUGCUUGCCUCUGCUGGCUUGUGCUGCCUGGAGCUUCUGCGUUGGGCCAAGGCUCCAGGAGCUCUCCAGCCAAAUUGGAUUACCCUGAUUUGUCGCACUGUUUGUGCCUCUGUGGGCAGCGGAAAUGACAGUGAGAUAUGAAGUCACUCGAGAGAGCGCAGUGACUGGAAUUCAGUUUUGAAGAGCCAGGCGGGCCGGCUGCGUGGGAGAUUGUGGGCGCCGGCUGACCCCAGCUGCCAUCAUCCACUCGCCCCAUCCCAGUGGUGUCAUGCAGCUGUUCCUCUUUCCUACGACCUUGAAGCAGGAGCAACGCAGGACUCAGGUGAGUUGAGGGGCCUGGAACCAGGUGGAGACCCGCCAGGGGCAGGAGGCCUUGUGUUCAGCCCAUCCUGGCCAAGAGGUGAGUGUGUGGGACCAGGGUGGGGGGAGUGUCUAGGGGAGGAAUGGGCCAUACAGCAGAGAGAUGGGGGGUCGUCUGAUUUGGAGGCACACUUGUCUUACAAAUCAAUAAUUUAAAGGCUACUUUCUUGCUGGCCAUGGGCAAUGAAUUCAGCACAAAGGGCUGGUGGCCUGCCUAUGUACCCACAUGUCUAUCCAGGAAAAAAACCUUUUAGAACCAUUUCACAACAUGGAAGAUAGUUUUGAAGAAACUAAAUCAGCAUUACCUUUAUUGAAGAGGAGCCAGACUUUGGGCUGCACACAGCCUUGGUCAGCCCACCUUUCCUCUGGGUCACAGCUCGGGCGCUGCCAGGCUUAGCCCUGGCUACACCCGAGGGCUCUUAAAACUACUGCUGUCCACGCCCCUACCCCCUGAACCUCUGCCUUAGUGGGCCUGGGGAGGGGCCUGGGCAGUAAUUGAGAUUUUUUUUAAAUACUCCCUGGAUUAUUUUCCCUGGGUCAAGAACCCUUGUUCUGACUGAAUACAGGGAGUAAAGAAGUAGGCCUCCAGGUCUAAGUGUGGAAGACCUCCUGCCCCCCCUCCAUUUUUCAAUACAGGUUUUCAAUAAAUCCUAGAAUGUCUGAGAUGCACUAAAUAGGAAGAUAAAAAUUCUAACUGGUUCAGAAACAUGUGCAUCGUACCCAAGUUCACUGGGUCAACCUGCCCAUUGUGUACCCCCAAGGUCAAUGGCAGUUUUCCAGCAUGGUCUUUGAUGCCAGGUGGUUAAGCAGUAGAAAAGGCCUCCAUUGAAGAGCCUCACCAGGCGUGUGGGGUGGGGGGUGGUGCGUAUUUCGCAGGAAACCACACGUGAAUGACCAUCUGACAACUCUGAGUCCCUGGUGGUGUCCAACUGCCCCCAGUCUUCCUGCACUCACGGUCAGCAGCCACCUGCCUUGACCUGGGCUUGCCCCGGCCUCCCUGGUGCACGUGCUCAGUGGUGCACCCAGUGGAACUCCCUAGGGGUAGGGACUCAACUUCCACUCCACAUGCAGCCCCUCAAACUUCCUGCUGGGGGGCUCCAUGCCCUGAGGGGCCCCCACUCUGCCAUAGUGACCCAGUCUGGAGGAGAAUUCCCCUAGGAUCCAACAGCCUCCCCACAGCCUGAGUGGCAAGUGCCAUCUUGCAACCUGACCCCUGGCAUGCUAGGUGACCCCGGCAGAAGAUCCUUUAGGACUCUGCCUUGGGAUAUUAAGGCGGCCAGCAGCUUACUCUCCUGCCAGACAAAGCCUGAGCUCUGAGGAUGCAAAAGACCAACACCACCUCUCUGGGCUGCUGCUUCCUAACGCGGAGCAGCUCCUCCGGUCACUGCUCUCCCCCCGCACCUGUUUUUGUUGUUUAAUAAACUUGGGCAGCUGCUCUUACCACAAA
Long non-coding RNA from Suricata suricatta (meerkat), 2057 nucleotides. RefSeq lists it as uncharacterized. The transcript is spliced from 3 exons. The record is from RefSeq and is a predicted model, not a curated record. NCBI's taxonomy places the organism in Eukaryota, Metazoa, Chordata, Mammalia, Carnivora, Herpestidae.